CCUAGCUGCGAGGCAGUUAAUCCAUGGUCUACUCACCUGAGACCGUGCUAAUUGUUUGAGAUAAAAAACUGGAGCCCAUGAGAUCAAACAACACUCUUUUUCCAUGAUGUUAAUUGGCCUCUUAUUUUUUGCAUGACUCCACGUUGUCUAGAUGUCCCACUUCAAUUGAUUGGAACUGAACCUGAUUCCAAGCUGAAGGAUAUACAAUGGGAUGACAAACACUCGAUGGAACUCUAGAACCUUCAUGAGAUAGCGAAGGAGACAGGUUUAUGACCUGGAUGAUUUCCCGCAGAUGAUCAAAUAGGUUUAUGACCUGGAUGAUUUCGACGAAAAUACUGGUCAUUGUGUAUAGAUAAAGAAGUGAUAAGUAUAUCAUGAUCAUCGCUGUAGAGAAUUCUGCAUUGAGCUCAGUUAGUGGAUAGCUUCUGGACAGAUCGUUUCGUGAAUUUUUACUUGUUUUAUCAUGGAUUUCAUGCAGCACCUAUAGAACAAGAAGGGCACAAACUAGGGAGUUAAAAAGGCAUAUGGAGGGGCAUGAGGAUGGAACUUGUUGAGUAUUUUUCGUAUCAAAAUAGCAUUGAGGUUCCUAUCUU
Musa acuminata subsp. malaccensis (wild Malaysian banana) is the source of this 593-nucleotide non-coding RNA. The record is from RefSeq and is a predicted model, not a curated record. NCBI's taxonomy places the organism in Eukaryota, Viridiplantae, Streptophyta, Magnoliopsida, Zingiberales, Musaceae.